GAUGAACGCUGGCGGCGUGCCUAACACAUGCAAGUCGAACGGCACCCCUCCUCGGAGGGAAGCGAGUGGCGAACGGCUGAGUAACACGUGGAGAACCUGCCCCCUCCCCCGGGAUAGCCGCUCGAAAGGACGGGUAAUACCGGAUACCCCGGGGUGCCGCAUGGCACCCCGGCUAAAGCCCCGACGGGAGGGGAUGGCUCCGCGGCCCAUCAGGUAGACGGCGGGGUGACGGCCCACCGUGCCGACAACGGGUAGCCGGGUUGAGAGACCGACCGGCCAGAUUGGGACUGAGACACGGCCCAGACUCCGACGGGAGGCAGCAGUGGGGAAUCUUGCGCAAUGGGGGGAACCCUGACGCAGCGACGCCGCGUGCGGGACGGAGGCCUUCGGGUCGUAAGCCGCUUUCAGCAGGGAAGAGUCAAGACUGUACCUGCAGAAGAAGCCCCGGCUAACUACGU
RNAcentral lists this ribosomal RNA (458 nucleotides) under uncultured bacterium. Its description in RNAcentral is "partial 16S ribosomal RNA". It matches the Rfam family "Bacterial small subunit ribosomal RNA", at positions 28 to 506 of the family's 1533-position model. The record is from RNAcentral.